AGCGGGGUGGGGUAGCCAGGAAAUCCCGACGGGCUCAUAACCCGUAGAUCAGUAGUUCAAAUCUACUCCCCGCUA
This 75-nucleotide transfer RNA is filed under the name Methanothrix soehngenii. RNAcentral's name for it is "tRNA-Met". It matches the Rfam family "tRNA". From Rfam's summary of the family: Transfer RNA (tRNA) molecules are approximately 80 nucleotides in length. Their secondary structure includes four short double-helical elements and three loops (D, anti-codon, and T loops). RNAcentral also lists the same sequence under 8 other names. Lineage: Archaea; Methanobacteriati; Methanobacteriota; Methanomicrobia; Methanotrichales; Methanotrichaceae. The record is from RNAcentral.